This is a long non-coding RNA of Apis florea (little honeybee), 1656 nucleotides long. Lineage: Eukaryota; Metazoa; Arthropoda; Insecta; Hymenoptera; Apidae. The record is from RefSeq and is a predicted model, not a curated record.
AAUACUACUCUGGUAAUUGUUUACAAAAGAUUUCGAAUAAAUAGAUUUGAUAAUGAGAGUAAUUAUAAUAGAGAAGCAAUAACGAUUGAUUAGAAAAAGAUGAAAUGAAAAUAAAUUCGCAUAUAGUAUGCAGUGCUGCAAGUCAAACGGACAGACAUAUCUAAGUGUACACGAGGAAAAUACGACCAACUUGUCCCGAAGGAUACUUUCGGAUGGAAUUCAGGCCAGAAAAAAGUUCCAAUUACUCGUUCGUUUUUCCUCCGCCUUCUACGCACGAACAUACUGUAAAUGUCAUUUUUUUUUUUCAUUCUUUCACUUUUGAUCGUUCCGUAGGUGCGAUCAAAAAAGUAAAAUAAAUAUUAAUCGUAACAAUAAUAGUAACAUUUCUAUUUAAAGCAUAGUGUAUAAAUGAAAAAGAAAAAUUAAUAAUGUCAUAAUAGCAAAUUGUUGUUUUGAAACUUGAUAUUAUUUGCGUGAGGCUUAAAAUAAAAGGGGUCAUUUUAAAAAGAGAAACAAGUUGGAAAGACAUGUUUUAAUUUUGACAGAUAGUUUUCACAUUUGAAUAAUUGGCGCUUCUUGACAGAUCACGUGGUUUCUGGUGUCUCAUCCGAUAUCAAACCUUUCAAACUCUCAAGGCAAAAGUUCGAAGGACCUCCGUGCGACCGUAGUGCUCGAAAAGCCGCGCGCGCAAAAGAAACACAACAAAAAAGGAAAUAAAACACGAGAAACACGAUCUCGAUUUCGUAAGAUUGACGAUGGAUGGAAGUGUAGUGAUAUCGAGAGGCUCCAAGAUGGACAAAAAACCAGCUCCGCGGCAAGAAAUCUCCUUUCCGUCGGCAGUAAUAUUGCAAGAUUCUAGGAGACCGGGUCCAUUGAAGGAACCCGGCUGUUCCUCGGCGGAGCAAAUCCGGCAGAGGAACAUCGCCAAAAUGACAGUACCGCGGCAGAACUGUGUGCACAUGCCGGUCAGCUUAUUAGGCUUCUCUUCCUUCCUUCUGCCGGAGUCGCCGCGCCCAGGAAACGUUUCACUUCACCACAUUAUACUUAUAUCAGAUACACAUCAGGAUCCUGGAUCCCUUGACAAACGAAAAGAUGAACACAUAUAGAGAUGGCAUAUAGAAAGGAACGCGUGGCCUGUUAAGGAGCUUAUAAGCUCACGAAACGAACAACGCACGCGCUCACUUUCCCUUUAACGCGGUUUCGACAACAGACGUAUACAAUACGACAUACGUUUACCAACUGACAGCGUAACUAUAUGUGCAAUAGCAGUAACUGCACCAAUUCCCCCUCUUUCACUGAGCUUCAUCCCUACUAUUGCCAUAUUCAUUGCUUUGAACCAAUCAACUUUCUCCGUAAAAACACCACUACCGAUGCACUUCUAGUAUAAUAUACUUGCGAUUCGCAAUAAUUGUGUAUCGAUGAUAUAUACCGUAUAUAGAGAUCUAUAUUUUCAAUCAAUUUUAUGAUUUUUAUUUUAUUUUUUAAGAUGAUAUUUAUAGCACGAUGAUUGAAUGAUAUUUUUUUAAUUGGAUAUUAACUUUGAUACAAAAAAAAAAAAAAUGAAGACUCAUAUGUUUAUUUUUGAGAGAUUAAUUGAUUUUGAAUUUGAAAAUUGUUAAAAAUAUACAUUGAAGAAUAUUGUAAUAUUUAUAAAAA